This 273-nucleotide ribosomal RNA is filed under the name uncultured Leptospira sp. RNAcentral describes it as "partial 16S ribosomal RNA". It matches the Rfam family "Bacterial small subunit ribosomal RNA", at positions 524 to 796 of the family's 1533-position model. Lineage: Bacteria; Pseudomonadati; Spirochaetota; Leptospiria; Leptospirales; Leptospiraceae. The record is from RNAcentral.
UACGUAUGGUGCAAGCGUUGUUCGGAAUUAUUGGGCGUAAAGGGUAUGUAGGCGGAUAUAUAAGUCAGAUGUGAAAUCUACGGGCUCAACUCGUAGUCUGCAUUUGAUACUGUGUAUCUAGAGUUUGGGAGAGGCAAUUGGAAUUCCUGGUGUAGCGGUGAAAUGCGUAGAUAUCAGGAGGAACACCAGUGGCGCAGGCGAAUUGCUGGCCUAAAACUGACGCUGAGAUACGAAAGCGUGGGGAGCGAACGGGAUUAGAUACCCCCGUAGUCC